Molecule: unclassified non-coding RNA, 217 nt
Filed under: Hevea brasiliensis (rubber tree)
Lineage: Eukaryota; Viridiplantae; Streptophyta; Magnoliopsida; Malpighiales; Euphorbiaceae
Source: RNAcentral
GAUAGUAUUUCUAAGUCUUGUAUUCAGCUGCUUCAUAUAAAAUGAGAAGUUACAUAGAUUUACAUAAACCCAAAAUGGUAACAAUAUGAGAUAAACCAGAUUAAUAAUUCUCAGAGCAAAGAAACCACUCCUGACAUGAAAUGUGUUCCUAAUGCACUGACAGAUUUGUCCUCUGAUCGCACAAUAUUUUAGUAUGAAGCAGCUGAAUACAAGACUU